UCCAGGGCUACACACGUGCUACAAUGGGCUGUACAAAAGGGUUGCGAACCCGCGAGGGUAAGCCAAUCCUAUAAAGCAGUUCUAAGUUCGGAUUGGAGUCUGCAACCUCGACUCCAUGAAGCUGGAAUCGCUAGUAAUCGCGGAUCAGCACGCCGCGGUGAAUACGUUCCCGGGCCUU
RNAcentral lists this ribosomal RNA (178 nucleotides) under uncultured Desulfobacteraceae bacterium. RNAcentral's name for it is "partial 16S ribosomal RNA". It matches the Rfam family "Bacterial small subunit ribosomal RNA", at positions 1207 to 1382 of the family's 1533-position model. Lineage: Bacteria; Pseudomonadati; Thermodesulfobacteriota; Desulfobacteria; Desulfobacterales; Desulfobacteraceae. The record is from RNAcentral.